CCUCGAGUGGUGGAUCACUCGGCUCGUGGGUCGAUGAAGAACGCAGCUAACUGCGUGCAGACGUGUGAACUGCAGGACACAUGAACACCGACGUUUCGAACGCAAAUGGCGGCUUGAAAUAACUUUCAAGCCACGUCUGGCUGAGGGUCGGAUAUGAAAUACUUAAUAAAA
RNAcentral lists this ribosomal RNA (171 nucleotides) under Ceratophysella biclavata. RNAcentral describes it as "5.8S ribosomal RNA". The stretch from base 6 to 150 matches the Rfam family "5.8S ribosomal RNA". From Rfam's summary of the family: 5.8S ribosomal RNA (5.8S rRNA) is a component of the large subunit of the eukaryotic ribosome. It is transcribed by RNA polymerase I as part of the 45S precursor that also contains 18S and 28S rRNA. Lineage: Eukaryota; Metazoa; Arthropoda; Collembola; Poduromorpha; Hypogastruridae. The record is from RNAcentral.